This is an RNA transcript of Bombus impatiens (common eastern bumble bee), 710 nucleotides long. It is a transcript of the gene named calsequestrin-2, with no coding region annotated. NCBI's taxonomy places the organism in Eukaryota, Metazoa, Arthropoda, Insecta, Hymenoptera, Apidae. The transcript is spliced from 2 exons. The record is from RefSeq and is a predicted model, not a curated record.
GCCUCGGCAAUUAUUGAAUGGCCGACCAGCCGACGAUAAGGUUCACUCCUUUUAUCCUCGACUUCCUCAAUCGAGACCGAUAUCUUGACGCGCGUCCUGUGACCACGACCCGACACGUCGACCUUAUGCGUGUUUCACCGUGUGUACGUGUGCCUGUGCUUGUGUUUUCCAUUGUGCGUGUGCGUGUUCACAUCCCACGAGCUAAUUUCUUAUUCCCGUGCGGCACGGAUACGACGUGUCCGCGUCGAGAAUCGAGAGACGACAGCGAAGAAGAUGCAGCGCCGUGGAGGACGAGCAAGAUGGAGAGAAGCUGGUGGCGGCGAUGACGAUGGUGAUGGUGGUGGUGGUACAUGGUGAUGAUGAUGAUGAUGAUGAUGAUGAUGAUGAUGAUGAUGGUGAUGAUGAUGAUGAUGAGGAUGAGGAUGAGGAUGAGGAUGAUGAUGGAACGCAUUGUGGAACGCACACUAUGGUGAGACGAUGUUUUUAUUGGGAGAGGAUUUGGGAACGGAUGAGGGUAUUUUGUUAAUGGUUAAGGUGGUGGUAGUAGGUUCUACAAAAUUGAGUUCAAUCGUGACUCGCAGGAAGGAUCGAGGAUGUGAAGACAGUUGCUUCGUCGUACGCGAUUAAUAUGAAACACUGAAAACGAAAAGUGGAAGGAAAACCGGCGUUGAAAACGCGGCAAAAAAAGGUGUGGUGUGAAUGAAAGCGGC